RNAcentral lists this ribosomal RNA (479 nucleotides) under uncultured bacterium. Its description in RNAcentral is "bacterial SSU rRNA". It matches the Rfam family "Bacterial small subunit ribosomal RNA", at positions 28 to 524 of the family's 1533-position model. The record is from RNAcentral.
GACGAACGCUGGCGGCGUGCUUAACACAUGCAAGUCGAACGGAAAGGCCCUUCGGGGUACUCGAGUGGCGAACGGGUGAGUAACACGUGGGUGAUCUGCCCUGCACUUCGGGAUAAGCCUGGGAAACUGGGUCUAAAUACCGGAUAUGACCUUGGGAUGCAUGUCCUUUGGUGGAAAGCUUUUGCGGUGUGGGAUGGGCCCGCGGCCUAUCAGCUUGUUGGUGGGGUUAAGGCCUACCAAGGCGACGACGGGUAGCCGGCCUGAGAGGGUGACCGGCCACACUGGGACUGAGAUACGGCCCAGACUCCUACGGGAGGCAGCAGUGGGGAAUAUUGCACAAUGGGCGCAAGCCUGAUGCAGCGACGCCGCGUGAGGGACGACGGCCUUCGGGUUGUAAACCUCUUUCAGCACAGACGAAGCGCGAGUGACGGUAUGUGCAGAAGAAGGACCGGCAACUACGUGCCAGCAGCCGCGGUAAU